This is a long non-coding RNA of Hyla sarda, 305 nucleotides long. RefSeq lists it as uncharacterized. Lineage: Eukaryota; Metazoa; Chordata; Amphibia; Anura; Hylidae. The record is from RefSeq and is a predicted model, not a curated record. The transcript is spliced from 3 exons.
CGGAAGUGGCGAGAACUAUGCGCUGCUGCACCGGGAGAAUGGCUGGACCUAGUCAAGAAAGAAUGACAUGGAUAGAGAGAAGAAUGUCUUUGGGUGGUCCACCGUCCUGCAUUAUAGAGUCUGGUGAACUGUUGGAUAUGCGCUUGUUCUUAGACAAAGUACUCUCGGACUCAGGCGACAUAUGAGGACCACCAAGGCCUGUCUCACUCAGACCCUACCUGGUAGGAGAUGGUUCCGGAACUCCUGCUCCCACUUCCUGAAUUCCUUGUUUUUAUUUUUAUUUUACGCAGGACGGUUGCUUUACA